Molecule: long non-coding RNA, 1069 nt
Organism: Leopardus geoffroyi (Geoffroy's cat)
Lineage: Eukaryota; Metazoa; Chordata; Mammalia; Carnivora; Felidae
Exons: 3
Source: RefSeq, a predicted model, not a curated record
GCUCCUGCUGGGGCGAUGGGCAGGGCCCCACCCCCUUCCUCCCAGGGCACCAGAGCCAGUGGCUGCGCGGGUGGGUCAGCCUGGAAGACCCGGGGCGGGAGAGAGGAGCCGGCCCAGGACGUGUCCCCAGCGGCUGGACGAGAGGCUGUGUGCUCGGGCCCCGACACAGACUCGGAAACACUGCCGAGGUCCCUGCCUUCGGCCUCUCGGGAUUGGUCACGGGAAGCGGGCGCUGGCUUCUCGGCUCGCCCUGCCACAGGCUCGGGACACCCUUUUGCCCACAGGAGCAGCAGCUGAAGACGCCUGAGCCCCGGGAGCCCCGGGCCUGCUUCCUGGGCCCUGCACUCCCAGGGCUGCACCCCAGCCUGGCCCACCUGCAGUGGGCGUCCUGUCACCUCGACGACCCCGGCCGGUGGAGUGGUGGAGAGGGUGUGAACUCUGUAGUCAGCUGGCUCUGAGCUGGGCAUGGUCCCCCGGAGCAGAGCUCCUUCAAAUCCCCGCUCCGCCCCCAGCCGGCUGAGUAACCUCGGGCGACCAGAGACCCCACCCUGCCCCUGCCCCCCGGGUAUUGUGAGCAGCUGGUGAGUUCACUCCAGCAGGGGGCGCUGAGUGGGGCGGCCGGGUGGCUGAUCGGGUUACAAAGACUUUGUUUUCAGGACGCCCCGAGGAAGCAAAAGGCAGAAUGGAGGGCCUCCUGCCUGUCCGGGGGAAGCAGAGAAGCCUGGACGCGGCUGCCGGAGGGGCAGGGCGGCAGGGCACAGGGCGAGGUCCUGAGCCCAGCAGGGCCCCGUCGCGGUGGACAUGGCCCCCCCCACCUCGUCCCGCCAGCAGGGCUGCACAACCGAGGAGACUCCCAGAGACAGCUCAGCAGAACCCCCCGCAGCCCUGCCAACGGACCCCACCGACACUGCGGCCGUGUCCCCCGCCAGGCGCUCAGGCCCUCAUCACUCUCCUCCAGCGUCCCCCCGACUUUCUAGCCCUGAUCCCUAAAGGGCAGAGGGAGGGGCUCUCUGAGCAGAAAUAGGUCGUAAGCAGUUUCCCUCCUCAGGAAGCAGCUAUUUCAUAAAUA